CCCGCUGAUUAAGAGUCAGCUGCUCUACCAACUGAGCUAUGCGCCCGGAUCCAAUCCGGAUGUCCGUUGAGGACGGCGUCGUUUAGCAAAGCGAAACGGCCAUGUCCAGCAAGGUUGCAGUGUUUUCCCNNNNNNGCCAAUGGAAAACCAGAUGGUUCCGGAUGCGAAAAACCGCCGGAAAUCCGGCGGUUUUUGUUGGCGCGACAGGCUUUCAGCCGAUCCUUCAGAGGCGCUCGGAG
Molecule: unclassified non-coding RNA, 239 nt
Filed under: Hevea brasiliensis (rubber tree)
Lineage: Eukaryota; Viridiplantae; Streptophyta; Magnoliopsida; Malpighiales; Euphorbiaceae
Source: RNAcentral